UGUUAAGUUGUCCCACGUCGCCUCCGUGCUGUCUUCCGUGGUCAUGAUCAUCUGACGUGUCUGUCUGUUUGUCGAGGGAAUGGCUUCUGUCCACGGCGGUGUUUAGUCAUACUUAGGCGGAGGGGCGCGCGCACAAAUUGAUGACUGCUGAGACCCGGUCUACCUGCAGAGGUGGCGGUGGGAGUUCAUCAUCAGGCACGCGUGAAAAUCGGAACUCGAAGAUUACAGAAGCAUGUCAGCUGGGAGGUGGGGAGGGAUGAGUGAUCCUGAUGACGUUCGGAUUUUGGAUUGGAAAACAGACCUAAAUUAAGUUCAACCUUAACCUUAAAAGAGAGAUGUUAGAAGCCGGAUGUGAUGGCUCAACAGCAGAAGCAGAGACAGGCUGGUUUGCAGAGCGAGUUGCAGGACAGCCAGGGCUGCAUUGAGAAACCCUGGGGGAGUGGGUGGGAGUAUGUGAAUUUGAGCCCAGCCAGUGCAGCAUAGAAUAUGUCUGGGUUUUUUUGUUUUUUGUUUUUAAAAGUGAGGGGAGCCUAGCCAUGGGUUUGCCCUCCUAGUGGAGGAGGGAAUGUGGCCAAAGGAGGUAGCAGCACACCAUUCUUGGGCUUGGAAGUUAGGAAGCAGUAUUUCAACAAUCCAAAGACAGCUUAAUUCCCAUGUAAGAAAGGACGGGAAAUACCAGCAAAUUGAAGUGUGGAGCCUGAUAAGCAAAAAGAGCACCUCUGGAAGCAGCUGUGGCAGCCGUAAUUCUACAGAUGUAUCCAAUGACCUCGAGGAACUCUGGACGAAACUAAGCAUAUUUUUAUAAGAAAGUACAAGAAAAAAAUUAUCCUGAGAAUCUAAAGUCUGGACAAAAAAUAGUGAACGGCAGAAAACAUCCACUUGGAAUUUCAUUUUCUUCCCUAAUAGUUUAACAAUCUGAC
This 920-nucleotide long non-coding RNA is filed under the name Mus musculus (house mouse). RNAcentral describes it as "long non-coding RNA chr5:65493096-65494016". The record is from RNAcentral. Lineage: Eukaryota; Metazoa; Chordata; Mammalia; Rodentia; Muridae.